This 510-nucleotide ribosomal RNA is filed under the name uncultured bacterium. RNAcentral describes it as "bacterial SSU rRNA". It matches the Rfam family "Bacterial small subunit ribosomal RNA", at positions 28 to 527 of the family's 1533-position model. The record is from RNAcentral.
GAUGAACGCUAGCGACAGGCCUAACACAUGCAAGUCGAGGGGCAGCACGAGGUAGCAAUACUAGGGUGGCGACCGGCGGACGGGUGAGUAACACGUAUGCAACCUACCUGCAAGAGGGGAAUAACCCGUUGAAAAACGGACUAAUACCGCAUAACACUGUAGAACCGCAUGGUUUGACAGUUAAACAUUUAUGGCUUACAGAUGGGCAUGCGCAUGAUUAGCUAGUUGGUGAGGUAACGGCUCACCAAGGCAACGAUCAUUAGGGGUUCUGAGAGGAAGGUCCCCCCAACUGGUACUGAGACACGGACCAGACUCCUACGGGAGGCAGCAGUGAGGAAUAUUGGUCAAUGGGCGAGAGCCUGAACCAGCCAAGUCGCGUGAAGGAUGAAGGUUUUAUGAAUUGUAAAACUUCUUUUGCGAGGGGAAUAAAGUGUACCGACGUGUCGGUAUUUUGUAUGUACCCUGCGAAUAAGGAUCGGCUAACUCCGUGCCAGCAGCCGCGGUAAAACG